UUGGCCGCCAACUCCGGCGACGAUUACGGCCACCAAUGCGAGAAGAAGCAUACUCUUGCGCUCCAUUUCGUUAGAUAGAUUGAGAGAGAGGAUUGAGUUUGCAGUGGAAAAUGUGCAGGGGGGAGGGGAGUGAAGGAGGAAGGUGAGAUUUGAGAGGCGGAGAUUAAUGGCGGAGGGACAGAGUAAUUUAUAGUGGAGGGAGAUGAUAG
Molecule: long non-coding RNA, 209 nt
Filed under: Linum usitatissimum (flax)
Lineage: Eukaryota; Viridiplantae; Streptophyta; Magnoliopsida; Malpighiales; Linaceae
Description: long non-coding RNA (LUSI_LNC000967)
Source: RNAcentral